RNAcentral lists this ribosomal RNA (492 nucleotides) under uncultured bacterium. RNAcentral describes it as "partial 16S ribosomal RNA". It matches the Rfam family "Bacterial small subunit ribosomal RNA", at positions 29 to 507 of the family's 1533-position model. The record is from RNAcentral.
AGUGAACGCUGGCGGUAGGCCUAACACAUGCAAGUCGAACGGCAGCACAGUAAGAGCUUGCUCUUACGGGUGGCGAGUGGCGGACGGGUGAGGUAUGCAUCGGAAUCUACUUUUUCGUGGGGGAUAACGUAGGGAAACUUACGCUAAUACCGCAUACGACCUACGGGUGAAAGCAGGGGAUCUUCGGACCUUGCGCGAUUGAAUGAGCCGAUGUCGGAUUAGCUAGUUGGCGGGGUAAAGGCCCACCAAGGCGACGAUCCGUAGCUGGCCUGAGAGGAUGAUCAGCCACACUGGAACUGAGACACGGUCCAGACUCCUACGGGAGGCAGCAGUGGGGAAUAUGGGACAAUGGGCGCAAGCCUGAUCCAGCCAUACCGCGUGGGUGAAGAAGGCCUUCGGGUUGUAAAGCCCUUCUGUUGGGAAAGAAAAGCAUCAGGUUAAUACCCCGCUGUUCUGACGGUACCCAAAGAAUAAGCGCCGGCUAACUUCGUG